GAUGAACGCUAGCGGCAGGCUUAACACAUGCAAGUCGAGGGGUAUAGUUCUUCGGAAUUAGAGACCGGCGCACGGGUGCGUAACGCGUAUGCAAUCUACCUUUCACAGAGGGAUAGCCCCAGAGAAAUUUGGAUUAAUACCUCAUAGUAUAGCAGUUUCGCAUGAAACCACUAUUAAAGUCACAACGGUGAAAGAUGAGCAUGCGUCCCAUUAGCUAGUUGGUAAGGUAACGGCUUACCAAGGCAACGAUGGGUAGGGGUCCUGAGAGGGAGAUCCCCACACUGGUACUGAGACACGGACCAGACUCCUACGGGAGGCAGCAGUGAGGAAUAUUGGACAAUGGCGCAAGCCUGAUCCAGCCAUNCCGCGUGCAGGAUGACGGUCCUAUGGAUUGUAAAC
This 399-nucleotide ribosomal RNA is filed under the name uncultured bacterium. Its description in RNAcentral is "bacterial SSU rRNA". It matches the Rfam family "Bacterial small subunit ribosomal RNA", at positions 28 to 430 of the family's 1533-position model. The record is from RNAcentral.